CCAAACGGUAUUAAAUUAUAAACAGGUUUUAAAUGCCUUUAAAAUGAAUAAAAAGAAAAGAGAAACGGAGGAAUCGUGAAACAGAUUCUCAAAAUACCAUUCGUCUUCCUCACGAAGACCGCUUCCCUUCUCUCAAUCUCUCAUCAUCUCUCAACCGUCAUCUCUCACGAUACCCUACCCUUACCCCAAAUGCACAAAUCCAUGGCUUUAAAGAAAUCCAAACAAUAAAGCUUACCUUCGGUGGUGGUUUGGUAGUGACGGUGAGGCUUGGAUUUGCCUCCUUUACCUCAAAGCUUUCUCUUUGAAGUUCUUCUCCUUCGCCGUUUCAAUCUGGGUUUUUUCGCCGUUUUCGAAUUUAGGGUUUUGUGGUGGUCGCCUCCAAAAAUUCCGUUCUUUCAUCUGUGGUCGAUUCCCCCUUUUAUAUCAACAACUUAGGGUUUUAGGUUGGCUUAUGGAGAUCCAGAAGGGGUUUCUGUGAAAUCUCUUUAGGGUAGUCAGAUUUUGGUCGCCCUAUUUGAUUGUUAAAUUCGGAAGAGGUAACACAGAGCUACACUUUCUUCUCUGACUUCUGUCUCAAUUCCGUUUUGGGCUGUUUGUUAACUUUUACCGUCUUACCGAGUUGAUGUAUUUUUUACUGAACUGAAAACUAGAACCUUCAUGAGUGGUUUACAAAUUUCUUCUUCUACUUUGAAAAAAGGUGUUUUUGUUAUGGAAAUCCUAGGGUGGAGUUCUAGUGUGGAUGAAGUUCUUAGAUCCGCUUCUGGUUCGGUUGAGGAUGUGAAACUGUUUUGCUGUGAUCAAACUCAGAUUUGAGAAGAAGUUCUUUUUGGGUGCGAUUGGUUUUCUUGAUUUCAAUUGAUUUUGUUCAUACCGUGCAGGUUAACCAUUUGCCUUGGAAGUUAUGUUAGAGGCUGCUAUGGAGUUUUCGAUUUUGUAUGGAGGUUAACCAACCAAUUAGUAAGGGCGGAUUCAGGUUGUGGCUUUGAAUCAUGCUGUUGGAGGUUAGGUGGAUAUCAUUUGGGUUGAAAUUCGUUGGACAGUUGGAAGUUCGGUUGGAGUUUGUUAUGAUUCUAUUCUGAAUUCAGUUGAAAUUUGGAAAUUCGGAUCCUUUGGUUUGCACUUGCAGGUGUGAUGCAUAAUUGGUUAAUUACUGCAGAAUUUUUGGACAUAUUUGCUUCAGGAAUGAAUAGAAAGUCUGAAGGUUAUUAGUUAGCUUGGGAAUUUCGGCUUGGAUGCGGCUACGAAGCGCAUUGGAUGGCGGGGCUGUUUUGGAAUUCUUAUGGAGUGCUAUGGCCUUGAUGAUGUUGAUUCGCUACUGUUAGAAAAAUCAUAUGUAAUGGAUUGGGAUAUAUCGAAUGUAUUGAAAUGGUUGGGUAGUGACUAUUGUAAUUUGGUUAGAUAAUAUUUAAUUGAAAGUGAAUGAAAAUUUGAAUGGUUUAUGAAAUA
This is a long non-coding RNA of Lathyrus oleraceus (garden pea), 1446 nucleotides long. RefSeq lists it as uncharacterized. Lineage: Eukaryota; Viridiplantae; Streptophyta; Magnoliopsida; Fabales; Fabaceae. The transcript is spliced from 3 exons. The record is from RefSeq and is a predicted model, not a curated record.